GGGGUUGUAGCUCAGUGGUAGAGCGCUCGCCUAGCACAUGUGAGGCACUGGGUUUGAUCCGCAGCACCACA
Molecule: transfer RNA, 71 nt
Filed under: Marmota monax (woodchuck)
Lineage: Eukaryota; Metazoa; Chordata; Mammalia; Rodentia; Sciuridae
Description: tRNA.Ala
Source: RNAcentral